GCCUUGGUGGUCUAAUGGUUUAAGAUGCUCGUACGGAAUACAAAAGAUCCGGGUUCAAGUCCUAGUCGAGGUA
RNAcentral lists this transfer RNA (73 nucleotides) under Acromyrmex echinatior (Panamanian leafcutter ant). It matches the Rfam family "tRNA". From Rfam's summary of the family: Transfer RNA (tRNA) molecules are approximately 80 nucleotides in length. The record is from Rfam by way of RNAcentral. Lineage: Eukaryota; Metazoa; Arthropoda; Insecta; Hymenoptera; Formicidae.